RNAcentral lists this ribosomal RNA (579 nucleotides) under uncultured bacterium. Its description in RNAcentral is "bacterial SSU rRNA". It matches the Rfam family "Bacterial small subunit ribosomal RNA", at positions 49 to 676 of the family's 1533-position model. The record is from RNAcentral.
UAACACAUGCAAGUCGAGCGCCCCGCAAGGGGAGCGGCAGACGGGAGAGUAACACGUGGGAACGUACCCUUCAGUUCGGAACAACCCAGGGAAACUUGGGCUAAUACCGAAUACGUCCGCAAGGAGAAAGAUUUAUCGCUGAAGGAUCGGCCCGCGUCUGAUUAGCUUGUUGGUGGGGUAACGGCCCACCAAGGCUACGAUCAGUAGCUGGUCUGAGAGGAUGAUCAGCCUCACUGGGACUGAGACACGGCCCAGACUCCUACGGGAGGCAGCAGUGGGGAAUAUUGGACAAUGGGCGCAAGCCUGAUCCAGCCAUGCCGCGUGGGUGAUGAAGGCCCUAGGGUUGUAAAGCCCUUUCGGCGGGGAAGAUAAUGACGGUACCCGCAGAAGAGGCCCCGGCUAACUUCGUGCCAGCAGCCGCGGUAAUACGAAGGGGGCUAGCGUUGCUCGGAAUCACUGGGCGUAAAGCGCACGUAGGCGGGUUGUUAAGUCGGAGGUGAAAUCCUGGAGCUCAACUCCAGAACUGCCUUCGAUACUGGCGACCUUGAGUCCGGGAGAGGUGAGUGGAACUGCGAGUGU